UCCACUCCCAAUUUCUCGCCA
RNAcentral lists this non-coding RNA (21 nucleotides) under Caenorhabditis elegans. The record is from RNAcentral. Lineage: Eukaryota; Metazoa; Nematoda; Chromadorea; Rhabditida; Rhabditidae.